Molecule: ribosomal RNA, 499 nt
Filed under: uncultured bacterium
Lineage: Bacteria
Description: partial 16S ribosomal RNA
Rfam family: Bacterial small subunit ribosomal RNA
Source: RNAcentral
ACUCAAAUGAAUUGACGGGGGCCCGCACAAGCGGUGGAGCAUGUGGUUCAAUUCGACGCAACGCGAAGAACCUUACCUGGGCUCGAACGGCUUCGGACCAUUCCUGGAAACAGGGACUUCCCGCAAGGGACCGGAGUCGAGGUGCUGCAUGGCUGUCGUCAGCUCGUGUCGUGAGAUGUUGGGUUAAGUCCCGCAACGAGCGCAACCCUUGUCCUGUGUUGCCACAUCGAAAGAUAGCACUCGCAGGAGACCGCCAGCGAUAAGCUGGAGGAAGGUGGGGAUGAUGUCAAGUCAUCAUGGCCUUUAUGUCCAGGGCUACACACGUGCUACAAUGGGCGGUACAAAGCGCUGCAAACCCGCGAGGGGGAGCUAAUCGCAAAAAACCGUUCUCAGUUCGGAUUGCAGGCUGCAACUCGCCUGCAUGAAGCUGGAAUCGCUAGUAAUGGCGUAUCAGAAUGAUGCCGUGAAUACGUUCCCGGGCCUUGUACACACCGCCCGU